GGGGAUAUAACUCAGUUGGUAGAGUGCUUGCCUCGAAUGCAGAAGGCCUUGGGUUCAAUCCCCAGCACCA
Ictidomys tridecemlineatus (thirteen-lined ground squirrel) is the source of this 70-nucleotide non-coding RNA. NCBI's taxonomy places the organism in Eukaryota, Metazoa, Chordata, Mammalia, Rodentia, Sciuridae. The record is from Rfam.